AUACGGAGGGUGCAAGCGUUAUCCGGAAUCAUUGGGUUUAAAGGGUCCGUAGGCGGACUAAUAAGUCAGGGGUGAAAUCCCACAGCUUAACUGUGGAACUGCCUUUGAUACUGUUAGUCUUGAGUUAUAUGGAAGUAGAUAGAAUGUGUAGUGUAGCGGUGAAAUGCUUAGAGAUUACACAGAAUACCGAUUGCGAAGGCAGUCUACUACAUAUAUACUGACGCUAAUGGACGAAAGCGUGGGGAGCGAACAGGAUUAGAAACCCCAGUAGUCC
Molecule: ribosomal RNA, 274 nt
Filed under: uncultured bacterium
Lineage: Bacteria
Description: partial 16S ribosomal RNA
Rfam family: Bacterial small subunit ribosomal RNA
Source: RNAcentral